AGAGUUUGAUCCUGGCUCAGGAUGAACGCUGGCGGCGUGCCUUAUACAUGCAAGUUGAGCGGUAACAGUUCCUCACUUUUCUUUUGAAUCUUAAGUAUUCGAAGGCGAAGUGAGGAAGCUGACGAGCGGCGAACGGGUGAGUAAUACGUAGGAACCUGCCUCAAAGUGAGGGAUAACCUAUCGAAAGGUAGGCUAAUACCGCAUAUGGUCUUUAGAUUAAAGCCUUCGGGCGCUUUGAGAAGGGCCUGCGCAAGAUUAGUUUGUUGGUGAGGUAAUGGCUCACCAAGACGAUGAUCUUUAGCUGGUUUGAGAGGAUGAUCAGCCACACUGGAACUGAGAUACGGUCCAGACUCCUACGGGAGGCAGCAGUAGGGAAUAUUCCACAAUGGGCGAAAGCCUGAUGGAGCAACGCCGCGUGCAGGAUUAAGGCCUUCGGGUUGUAAACUGCUUUUAUAUGUGAAGAAUAUGACGGUAGCAUAUGAAUAAGCCUCGGCUAACUCCG
This 502-nucleotide ribosomal RNA is filed under the name uncultured bacterium. Its description in RNAcentral is "bacterial SSU rRNA". It matches the Rfam family "Bacterial small subunit ribosomal RNA", at positions 8 to 505 of the family's 1533-position model. The record is from RNAcentral.